UGCUUUCCUUUUUCCUUGGAUCUAGGUUUAGUGUUUUAAUCCACCCUAACAUCUCGUCGAUCGGGUCUGCUCCGUCAUCUACAAUAUCUCAUCUCUCCGGUGCACGGCGACAAACUCAUUUCAGGAUCUGCGGCUCGAGAAAAGCUUUGUGAUUUCUCUCUUUCUUUCUCCUGUGCAAUUGGGAAGCGAAGAGGUUUUUUGUAGACUUUUGGAGGUGGAUUUGGGAGAAGCUAGGGUUUCUUUGGGAGUCUUAGAGAUUAGGGUGGACAAUAAAUUUCAACUUCUUUGGUGGUUGGUAGUUUUUGGCUUCACCGACUUCAUAGGAUUCCCAAAUUGAAUUUUUCACUCUUGUUAACGACUUGAAACAUGGUUAGAGAUCGGUCUUGGAUGUAUUGCGGUAGGGAUCGGGCAUCAUUCAUCA
Long non-coding RNA from Dioscorea cayenensis subsp. rotundata (Guinea yam), 421 nucleotides. RefSeq lists it as uncharacterized. Lineage: Eukaryota; Viridiplantae; Streptophyta; Magnoliopsida; Dioscoreales; Dioscoreaceae. The transcript is spliced from 3 exons. The record is from RefSeq and is a predicted model, not a curated record.